RNAcentral lists this ribosomal RNA (658 nucleotides) under Saprolegnia sp. UNCW383. Its description in RNAcentral is "eukaryotic LSU rRNA". It matches the Rfam family "Eukaryotic large subunit ribosomal RNA", at positions 52 to 575 of the family's 3401-position model. Lineage: Eukaryota; Oomycota; Saprolegniomycetes; Saprolegniales; Saprolegniaceae. The record is from RNAcentral.
GGAGGAAAAGAAACUAACAAGGAUUCCCCUAGUAACGGCGAGUGAAGCGGGAAGAGCUCAAGCUUAAAAUCUCCAUACUUGUAUGGCGAAUUGUAGUCUAUUGAGGCUGUUGUCAGCAUCGCGAUCGGGGACAAGUCCCUUGGAAAAGGGCAGCAUGGAGGGUGAUACUCCCGUCUCUGCUCCGAUUUGCGAUGUGUACGAUACGCUUUCUUUGAGUCGAGUUGUUUGGGAAUACAGCUCAAAGUAGGUGGUAAAUUCCAUCUAAAGCUAAAUAUUGGUGCGAGACCGAUAGCGAACAAGUACCGUGAGGGAAAGAUGAAAAGAACUUUGAAAAGAGAGUUAAAGAGUACCUGAAACUGCUGAAAGGGAACCGUAUCGUUUCCAGUGUUGUAUCCCAUGCAUAUUUCAUUCGCGGAGCAAUUUGCGGGUGCCCUGUGCAUGGGUGUGACGUCAGGGUCAGUUUGUAUGCUGCGGGAGAUGGUCAGUGAGGAGGUGCGUCACUUCGGUGAAAGUUAUAUCUCGCUGUCUAGUAGCCGCGGUUGAGACUGAGGUGCCUACAACAUGCUUUGGGGUUCCGUGUUGUCUCGUGUUAGUGACUGUUUGGAUAGCUUGCUAUGUCUGUGGUUUACUAGUGCGAUCGAUGAUGCGGACAACCUCU